GUAGGUAACCUGUCCUUAUGUCUGGGAUACCCCACCGAAAGGUGGACUAAUACCGGAUGUUCUUGUUUUUCAUAAGCUUUACAAGAAAAGGUGGCCUCUGAUUUAAGCUACUGCAUGAGGAGGGGUCUGCGUACCAUUAGCUAGUUGGUGGGGUAAGAGCCUACCAAGGCAUCGAUGGUUAGCGGGUCUGAGAGGAUGAUCCGUCACACUGGCACUGAAACACAGGCCAGACUCCUACGGGAGGCAGCAGUGAGGAAUAUUGCGCAAUGGGGGAAACCCUGACGCAGCGACGCCGCGUGAGUGAGGAAGGCUUUCGGGUCGUAAAGCUCUGUCAAAAGAGAAGAAGUGUAUACAAGCUAAUACCUUGUAUACUUAACGGUACCUUUAAAGGAAGCACCGGCUAACUCCGUGCCAGCAGCCGCGGUAAUACGGAAGGUGCAAGCGUUGUUCGGAAUUACUGGGCGUAAAGGGCGCGCAAACGGCCAAAUAAGUCAGAUGUGAAAGCCCCGGGCUCAACCUGGGAACUGCAUCUGAUACUGGCAGACUAGAGUUUGAGAGAGGAAAGUGGAAUUCCAGGUGUAGCGGUGAAAUGCGUAGAUAUCUGGAGGAACACCAGUGGCGAAGGCGACUUUCUGGCUUAAAACUGACACUGAGGUGCGAAAGCGUGGGUAGCA
RNAcentral lists this ribosomal RNA (674 nucleotides) under uncultured bacterium. RNAcentral describes it as "bacterial SSU rRNA". It matches the Rfam family "Bacterial small subunit ribosomal RNA", at positions 117 to 770 of the family's 1533-position model. The record is from RNAcentral.